ACGAAGGGGGCUAGCGUUGUUCGGAUUUACUGGGCGUAAAGCGCACGUAGGCGGAUUGUUAAGUGAGGGGUGAAAUCCCAGGGCUCAACCCUGGAACUGCCUUUCAUACUGGCAAUCUAGAGUCCGGAAGAGGUGAGUGGAACUCCUAGUGUAGAGGUGGAAUUCGUAGAUAUUAGGAAGAACACCAGUGGCGAAGGCGGCUCACUGGUCCGGUACUGACGCUGAGGUGCGAAAGCGUGGGGAGCAAACAGG
Molecule: ribosomal RNA, 252 nt
Filed under: uncultured bacterium
Lineage: Bacteria
Description: partial 16S ribosomal RNA
Rfam family: Bacterial small subunit ribosomal RNA
Source: RNAcentral